GACGAACGCUGGCGGCGUGCCUAAUACAUGCAAGUAGAACGCUGAAGGAGGAGCUUGCUUCUCUGGAUGAGUUGCGAACGGGUGAGUAACGCGUAGGUAACCUGCCUGGUAGCGGGGGAUAACUAUUGGAAACGAUAGCUAAUACCGCAUAAUAGUAGAUGUUGCAUGACAUUUGCUUAAAAGGUGCAAUUGCAUCACUACCAGAUGGACCUGCGUUGUAUUAGCUAGUUGGUGAGGUAACGGCUCACCAAGGCAACGAUACAUAGCCGACCUGAGAGGGUGAUCGGCCACACUGGGACUGAGACACGGCCCAGACUACUACGGGAGGCAGCAGUAGGGAAUCUUAGGCAAUGGACGGAAGUCUGACCGAGCAACGCCGCGUGAGUGAAGAAGGUUUUCGGAUCGUAAAGCUCUGUUGUAAGAGAAGAACGAGUGUGAGAGUGGAAAGUUCACACUGUGACGGUAUCUUACCAGAAAGGGACGGCUAACUACGUG
Molecule: ribosomal RNA, 495 nt
Filed under: uncultured bacterium
Lineage: Bacteria
Description: partial 16S ribosomal RNA
Rfam family: Bacterial small subunit ribosomal RNA
Source: RNAcentral